RNAcentral lists this long non-coding RNA (576 nucleotides) under Heterocephalus glaber (naked mole-rat). RNAcentral's name for it is "lncRNA (ENSHGLG00000033286.1)". Lineage: Eukaryota; Metazoa; Chordata; Mammalia; Rodentia; Bathyergidae. The record is from RNAcentral.
CGAGCCCGGCGUGGCUGUUACACAAGGUGGCCCCAGCUGCCACCGGGCCUCCGCCCACCUCGGUGUUGCGUCCCUGUCCGGGCGGUGACUCACCGGAGGCUGUGCCUGCAGCGGAGCAGGAGCCUUGGCCCCUCAGAGGAAGUCAGCAGUCAGUUUUCUUCAACAAACUUCCUGGCCCGGGUCUUGAGGCGCCCCUCCUGGCCCCAGAGGUCCCCGUCCCCACAGACUGGAGCAUGCCAUGAGGUGCUGGGAUCACAGGUGACUGGUUCUUUUCCUCUGGCCGGGCCUGGCCCGAGGUGGCCAAAUCACCUGUCUCCACCCCUGCACCUGGGAGCCUCCCCACUUCCUGUGCCCGGGCAGCACCUGCCAAAAGCCUUCAUGAAGCUAAGGAAAACAAAGGACAUCAGCCCAUCAACACCUCCACCAGUCACUAAAUGACUGCUAAAUAGCCCCAAAAUGUCCCACUGGACUGUGUCAUCCAAACACUGCCACCCAGCCAGGCCGGGUUUUAGUAAAUACGAACACUUCCCUAGCAUCAGGACUGCGGGGCAAACACUUCAGCGGGCCUGGCUGGAC